This 2149-nucleotide ribosomal RNA is filed under the name Staphylococcus aureus. Its description in RNAcentral is "partial 23S ribosomal RNA". It matches the Rfam family "Bacterial large subunit ribosomal RNA", at positions 1 to 2147 of the family's 2925-position model. Lineage: Bacteria; Bacillati; Bacillota; Bacilli; Caryophanales; Staphylococcaceae. The record is from RNAcentral.
AGAUUAAGUUAUUAAGGGCGCACGGUGGAUGCCUUGGCACUAGAAGCCGAUGAAGGACGUUACUAACGACGAUAUGCUUUGGGGAGCUGUAAGUAAGCUUUGAUCCAGAGAUUUCCGAAUGGGGAAACCCAGCAUGAGUUAUGUCAUGUUAUCGAUAUGUGAAUACAUAGCAUAUCAGAAGGCACACCCGGAGAACUGAAACAUCUUAGUACCCGGAGGAAGAGAAAGAAAAUUCGAUUCCCUUAGUAGCGGCGAGCGAAACGGGAAGAGCCCAAACCAACAAGCUUGCUUGUUGGGGUUGUAGGACACUCUAUACGGAGUUACAAAGGACGACAUUAGACGAAUCAUCUGGAAAGAUGAAUCAAAGAAGGUAAUAAUCCUGUAGUCGAAAAUGUUGUCUCUCUUGAGUGGAUCCUGAGUACGACGGAGCACGUGAAAUUCCGUCGGAAUCUGGGAGGACCAUCUCCUAAGGCUAAAUACUCUCUAGUGACCGAUAGUGAACCAGUACCGUGAGGGAAAGGUGAAAAGCACCCCGGAAGGGGAGUGAAAUAGAACCUGAAACCGUGUGCUUACAAGUAGUCAGAGCCCGUUAAUGGGUGAUGGCGUGCCUUUUGUAGAAUGAACCGGCGAGUUACGAUUUGAUGCAAGGUUAAGCAGUAAAUGUGGAGCCGUAGCGAAAGCGAGUCUGAAUAGGGCGUUUAGUAUUUGGUCGUAGACCCGAAACCAGGUGAUCUACCCUUGGUCAGGUUGAAGUUCAGGUAACACUGAAUGGAGGACCGAACCGACUUACGUUGAAAAGUGAGCGGAUGAACUGAGGGUAGCGGAGAAAUUCCAAUCGAACCUGGAGAUAGCUGGUUCUCUCCGAAAUAGCUUUAGGGCUAGCCUCAAGUGAUGAUUAUUGGAGGUAGAGCACUGUUUGGACGAGGGGCCCCUCUCGGGUUACCGAAUUCAGACAAACUCCGAAUGCCAAUUAAUUUAACUUGGGAGUCAGAACAUGGGUGAUAAGGUCCGUGUUCGAAAGGGAAACAGCCCAGACCACCAGCUAAGGUCCCAAAAUAUAUGUUAAGUGGAAAAGGAUGUGGCGUUGCCCAGACAACUAGGAUGUUGGCUUAGAAGCAGCCAUCAUUUAAAGAGUGCGUAAUAGCUCACUAGUCGAGUGACACUGCGCCGAAAAUGUACCGGGGCUAAACAUAUUACCGAAGCUGUGGAUUGUCCUUUGGACAAUGGUAGGAGAGCGUUCUAAGGGCGUUGAAGCAUGAUCGUAAGGACAUGUGGAGCGCUUAGAAGUGAGAAUGCCGGUGUGAGUAGCGAAAGACGGGUGAGAAUCCCGUCCACCGAUUGACUAAGGUUUCCAGAGGAAGGCUCGUCCGCUCUGGGUUAGUCGGGUCCUAAGCUGAGGCCGACAGGCGUAGGCGAUGGAUAACAGGUUGAUAUUCCUGUACCACCUAUAAUCGUUUUAAUCGAUGGGGGGACGCAGUAGGAUAGGCGAAGCGUGCGAUUGGAUUGCACGUCUAAGCAGUAAGGCUGAGUAUUAGGCAAAUCCGGUACUCGUUAAGGCUGAGCUGUGAUGGGGAGAAGACAUUGUGUCUUCGAGUCGUUGAUUUCACACUGCCGAGAAAAGCCUCUAGAUAGAAAAUAGGUGCCCGUACCGCAAACCGACACAGGUAGUCAAGAUGAGAAUUCUAAGGUGAGCGAGCGAACUCUCGUUAAGGAACUCGGCAAAAUGACCCCGUAACUUCGGGAGAAGGGGUGCUCUUUAGGGUUAACGCCCAGAAGAGCCGCAGUGAAUAGGCCCAAGCGACUGUUUAUCAAAAACACAGGUCUCUGCUAAACCGUAAGGUGAUGUAUAGGGGCUGACGCCUGCCCGGUGCUGGAAGGUUAAGAGGAGUGGUUAGCUUCUGCGAAGCUACGAAUCGAAGCCCCAGUAAACGGCGGCCGUAACUAUAACGGUCCUAAGGUAGCGAAAUUCCUUGUCGGGUAAGUUCCGACCCGCACGAAAGGCGUAACGAUUUGGGCACUGUCUCAACGAGAGACUCGGUGAAAUCAUAGUACCUGUGAAGAUGCAGGUUACCCGCGACAGGACGGAAAGACCCCGUGGAGCUUUACUGUAGCCUGAUAUUGAAAUUCGGCACAGCUUGUACAGGAUAGG